Molecule: long non-coding RNA, 711 nt
Organism: Chrysemys picta bellii (western painted turtle)
Lineage: Eukaryota; Metazoa; Chordata; Testudines; Emydidae
Source: RefSeq, a predicted model, not a curated record
AAUUCCUGUCACUAAGCCACAGCCUACAAAAUACUUUAUCCCCAUCUCCUCCCCAGCCGCAUACUCAUAUGUGUCCUCACGUUCAUGUUUUGCUUUUACCUACAUGCUUGUUCAAUGUCCUGAUACUCACGCUCAGUCUCAGGUACAUGUCCAUACAGCCAAUAGCUUCCUGUACACACACACAUGGUGCAUACCUCGCACACGGCCUUGGGAUAGUGAGAGAUCCGCUGGCCCUCAAACGGUUGGCUGCAGCAUAGAGAGUAUAAAGGUGCUUGCUGUACUGAUUGCUAAAGGAGCCCAGGGAGAGAAGCAGGGUGUUUGAGGAUAGAGGGUUUAGAACUGAAGGCCUGGUCUCUUUGUCCUAGUGCCACAUGUGUCUGCUGCCAUAAGAACGGCCAUACUGGGUCAGACCAAAGGUCCAUCCAGCCCAGUAUCCUGUCUACCGACCGUGACCAAUGCCAGGUGGAGUGAACCUAACAGUAUCUCUGCCAGACCCCAAGGACGGUUCAUAUUGCUGCGGCAUGAAUGUGAGCAGAAUGCUAGAGAGGAACCUCUGCUACGGGGUCUAAGGUGCAGUGGAGCGGUGAAGAGACUUGCCUGAGGCCAUACAACAAGAGCUGAAAACAGAAGCUGUGUCUUCACCUACAACCCUUAUCACUGAAAGCCAUCUGAAUCUGGUGGGACCAUGAGGCUGGUUCUCCAUCAGCCCAG